Molecule: ribosomal RNA, 230 nt
Filed under: uncultured bacterium
Lineage: Bacteria
Description: partial 16S ribosomal RNA
Rfam family: Bacterial small subunit ribosomal RNA
Source: RNAcentral
CAAACGGGUGAGUAACACGUAGGUAACCUACCCCGGAGUGGGGAAUAACGACCCGAAAGGGUCGCUAAUACCGCAUACGAUCGAGAGAUGAAAGGUUCCUGUAAGGGAGACCGCUCUGGGACGGGCCUGCGGCCCAUCAGGUAGUUGGUGAGGUAAUGGCCCACCAAGCCGAUGACGGGUAGCUGAUCUGAGAGGAUGACCAGCCACACUGGCACUGAUACACGGGCCAG